RNAcentral lists this ribosomal RNA (1926 nucleotides) under Notomicrus nanulus. RNAcentral describes it as "partial 18S ribosomal RNA". It matches the Rfam family "Eukaryotic small subunit ribosomal RNA". The record is from RNAcentral. Lineage: Eukaryota; Metazoa; Arthropoda; Insecta; Coleoptera; Noteridae.
CAUGCAUGUCUCAGUACAAGCCAAAUUAAGGUGAAACCGCGAAAGGCUCAUUAAAUCAGUUAUGGUUCCUUAGAUCGUACCCACAUUUACUUGGAUAACUGUGGUAAUUCUAGAGCUAAUACAUGCAAAUAGAGCUCCGACCGGAGACGGAAGGAGUGCUUUUAUUAGAUCAAAACCAAUCGGCGGCGGUACGCGCAAGCGGUUCGUUCGUCGCUAACACUGGUGAAUCUGAAUAACUUUUGCUGAUCGCACGGUCUCGUACCGGCGACGCAUCUUUCAAAUGUCUGCCUUAUCAACUGUCGAUGGUAGGUUCUGCGCCUACCAUGGUUGUAACGGGUAACGGGGAAUCAGGGUUCGAUUCCGGAGAGGGAGCCUGAGAAACGGCUACCACAUCCAAGGAAGGCAGCAGGCGCGCAAAUUACCCACUCCCGGCACGGGGAGGUAGUGACGAAAAAUAACGGUACAGGACUCAUCCGAGGCCCUGUAAUCGGAAUGAGUACACUUUAAAUCCUUUAACGAGUAUCAAUUGGAGGGCCAGUCUGGUGCCAGCAGCCGCGGUAACUCCAGCUCCAAUAGCGUAUAUUAAAGUUGUUGCGGUUAAAAAGCUCGUAGUUGAAUCUGUGUUCCGCGCUGUCGGUUCUCCGCCCGCGGAGUUUAACUGGCACGCCGCGGAACGUCCUGCCGGUGGACCGCUUCGUUGCCGCUGUCGGCGUGCGCCGUUCGCGCGGCGUUGCGUCCGGCUCGGCCGCGGCUGACCGACUCACGAUCCUACCGCGGUGCUCUUCACUGAGUGUCGAGGUGGGCCGGCACGUUUACUUUGAACAAAUUAGAGUGCUCAAAGCAGGCCGACAACACGCCUGAAUAUUGUGUGCAUGGAAUAAUGGAACAGGACCUCGGUUCUAUUUUGUUGGUUUUCGGAAUCCCGAGGUAAUGAUUAAUAGGGACAGAUGGGGGCAUUCGUAUUGCGACGUUAGAGGUGAAAUUCUUGGACCGUCGCAAGACGGACAGAAGCGAAAGCAUUUGCCAAAAAUGUUUUCAUUAAUCAAGAACGAAAGUCAGAGGUUCGAAGGCGAUCAGAUACCGCCCUAGUUCUGACCAUAAACGAUGCCAGCUAGCGAUCCGCUGACGUUCCUCCGAUGACUCGGCGGGCAGCUUCCGGGAAACCAAAGCUUUUGGGUUCCGGGGGAAGUAUGGUUGCAAAGCUGAAACUUAAAGGAAUUGACGGAAGGGCACCACCAGGAGUGGAGCCUGCGGCUUAAUUUGACUCAACACGGGAAACCUCACCAGGCCCAGACACCGUUAGGAUUGACAGAUUGAGAGCUCUUUCUUGAUUCGGUGGGUGGUGGUGCAUGGCCGUUCCUGGUUGGUGGAGCGAUUUGUCUGGUUAAUUCCGAUAACGAACGAGACUCUAGCCUGCUAAAUAGACGUUACUUUCCGGCAUCCUGAAGGCUCGCGCCGUCCGUCAGCCGGACCCGGCGUUCGUCGGCGGUUCGCCGUCCGUCGGCGUCGGUGCUCCGGUCGGUCGGUUGCGGUUUUUACUGCCGGCGUUCAAAUAUAUCUUCUUAGAGGGACAGGCGGCUCUCAGCCGCAUGAGAUUGAGCAAUAACAGGUCUGUGAUGCCCUUAGAUGUUCUGGGCCGCACGCGCGCUACACUGAAGGAAUCAGCGUGUCUUCCCUGGCCGAGCGGUCCGGGUAACCCGCUGAACCUCCUUCGUGCUAGGGAUUGGGGCUUGCAAUUGUUCCCCAUGAACGAGGAAUUCCCAGUAAGCGCGAGUCAUAAACUUGCGUUGAUUACGUCCCUGCCCUUUGUACACACCGCCCGUCGCUACUACCGAUUGAAUGAUUUAGUGAGGUCUUCGGACCGGUACGCGGUGGCGUUUCGCGCGUCGCCGAUGUCGCUGGGAAGAUGACCAAACUUGAUCAUUU